Molecule: ribosomal RNA, 253 nt
Filed under: uncultured bacterium
Lineage: Bacteria
Description: partial 16S ribosomal RNA
Rfam family: Bacterial small subunit ribosomal RNA
Source: RNAcentral
UACAGAGGUCUCAACCGUUGUUCGGAUUCAUUGGGCGUAAAGGGUGCGUAGGCGGUCGCGCAAGUCGGAUGUGAAAUCUCAGGGCUCAACCCUGAAACUGCAUUCGAUACUGCGUGGCUAGAGUGCUGGAGAGGAGAGUGGAAUUCCUGGUGUAGCGGUGAAAUGCGCAGAUAUCAGGAAGAACACCCGUGGCGAAGGCGGCUCUCUGGAACGCAACUGACGCUGAGACGCGAAAGCGUGGGGAGCAAACAGG